Molecule: ribosomal RNA, 527 nt
Filed under: Microbacterium sp. WI25
Lineage: Bacteria; Bacillati; Actinomycetota; Actinomycetes; Micrococcales; Microbacteriaceae
Description: bacterial SSU rRNA
Rfam family: Bacterial small subunit ribosomal RNA
Source: RNAcentral
UGCAGUCGACGGUGAACACGGAGCUUGCUCUGUGGGAUCAGUGGCGAACGGGUGAGUAACACGUGAGCAACCUGCCCCUGACUCUGGGAUAAGCGCUGGAAACGGCGUCUAAUACUGGAUAUGUGACGUGACCGCAUGGUCUGCGUCUGGAAAGAAUUUCGGUUGGGGAUGGGCUCGCGGCCUAUCAGCUUGUUGGUGAGGUAAUGGCUCACCAAGGCGUCGACGGGUAGCCGGCCUGAGAGGGUGACCGGCCACACUGGGACUGAGACACGGCCCAGACUCCUACGGGAGGCAGCAGUGGGGAAUAUUGCACAAUGGGCGCAAGCCUGAUGCAGCAACGCCGCGUGAGGGACGACGGCCUUCGGGUUGUAAACCUCUUUUAGCAGGGAAGAAGCGAAAGUGACGGUACCUGCAGAAAAAGCGCCGGCUAACUACGUGCCAGCAGCCGCGGUAAUACGUAGGGCGCAAGCGUUAUCCGGAAUUAUUGGGCGUAAAGAGCUCGUAGGCGGUUUGUCGCGUCUGCUGUG